CACUCACUACGAUCUUCAUACAAAUCCCUCUGAUUUCUCUAUCUCUUCCUCUCCCUCGUGUUCCUUCACAGUUCAUACAAAUCCAUCACAAAUCGAAAUGAGCAAUUCAGUUUUUCAAAUUCAUGCUUGCAUUUGCAAGAUUCUACUCAAGUUGAAGCUUUUGAGCAAUUGGAAACUAAGUUUACGUGAAAGUAAGAAGGAGAAUUUUGGCUCCGGCAUCUCUUCCAGAAAGGAAGAAGCAGGUCAGAUUUUUGUUUCUGCUCCUAUUAUCAAAAGAACUGAUCUGUUUUCCCUUGAGACUGCGGAUGGUAUAUAUGUUUACACUAGGGGUUUCAUGAACAAGCAGCGUACACUGGAAAAUGGUUUUACUCCUCAGAUUUCAAAGAGUUUUUUAUAUGGUUUUCCUCCAAAUUGGGAAAGCUAUGCUCUAGAAUGCAUCAAAGAAGAAUUUGAAGCUGGUAUUGAUUUGGCUAAUGCUGUUCCAGAGAAUGUAUCUACAAUUUGUCACGAAAUCUUGUAUGAUGGUGAGGAAAAUUCCAUUCCUACUCCGUUGGUGUUUCCUGAAGAAGCCCCAGGAGAAUGCAAUAAACCAUCCGCUGUAGACAAAUGCAAAGUCUCAAAGGAGAUGAGUGGGGUUGAUGUUGCUUAUGGUAGUGACGAAAAUAGACGUUGUACCAGCUUGUAUAAUAGUAAAGUUUGUCAGCAGCAGCCUGCGUCUGGAGGUCCUCUCAAGCAUCCAGAUACAGAGCAGAGCUCUACCUCGAUGGAAGUGGAAAAUCGUAAUCCGGAUACUGCUAUUUCUAAUAAUGUAUCCGCAAAUCUUCCAGAAAUAUCACCUGGUGCUGUGGAAAAAUCUUUUCCUACUUCUUUUGUAUCAUCGGAGAAGGCCACAGGAGAUUAUAAGUCAAUUAAAAUGAGUGAGGUCAAUGUUGUUCAUGGUAGUGGUGGGAAUAGACGUAGUGUCCGGUUGCAUAAUAUUAAACUCAGCCAGAAGAAGCAACCUGCUACUGAAGGUCCUCCAAAGUAUCCAAUUGAACGCCAUAUCUCUGCCUCAACAGCUUUUGAGAUAAGUGGUGGAGGACAGGAAAGUCCAUCGAAACCCGUUCAAUCAAAAUUGAAGGGACCAGUAAAUGCAUUGUCUGAGCAGGUCAGAAAUAAAUUCACAUCCAGAGUAUGCAAAACUACGCCAGCAAAAACUGACCGAUGAUAUAAGAGAAAAAGGGUUACAAUUAUUAAAUCCACAUCUUCUGUGAAAUCUUCACAAGAAAGGAAUGUAAGUGACUUGAACAAGGGUAGUAAGAAGAGAUUAUCAGCCGUUUCUCCAGAGUCAUUGAGUCUCAAAAAAUCUAGAUCUGGAAGGUAACUUCUACCUCGCUUAGAGUUUUCGCGCAAUCAAAUACCCAUUUAUAAUAUGGACAGUGAGAUUACAGAUAUUCAGGAAGGCUCAUCUUUGAUAUCACCUUUCCGGUUAUCAUUGGGAAGAAAAUGAGAGGUGGAAAAAUGAUUGUACUGAGAACAAUGCAGAAAUUAUAAAUAGUGAAGACUGAAGUUUGAAGAGUGCAAGGGAAAGAAACAAUUAGGGGAGGGUAGUGUACAACAGAACAGACAGAUGGUAUAUAUUUGGGAAUCAUGGAGACGGGAGAAUAGGUAGGUAUGUGGAUGUUGGGAAACUGGAGUAGAUUGUGGGUGGCCUUUGGCAUAGAAAGGACUGCUCCAUUGUAGAUCCUUGUUGUUCAGUCUUUUUUCCUUUUCUAUCUUUUGUGUUUUGUUCUUGACUCUAGAAGGAGCUGAGCUCCCUUGGUUAGAUAAAUAACACUCUUCGAUCUUCAGUUUACAUACCAUUUCUCCGAUCUUAAUAUUUCUAUUAUGUUGUUGCUCAUGAUCUUGUUUUUCACGGUGUGGUUGCUGUUUUCUAUCUGUUUUAGUGCUGGUUUUUCCGAUUACGUGGUUGCUUUUAUGGUACCUCAAUAUACAGUCUACAGGGUGUCCAGAGCUCGAAUUACUCUGUUGUUUAACAUUCUGGCAUAUAUUUUGAUAACUUGUUUUCUUGCAUGUUAUUGCAAUAGAAAACUGUUAAAAUUUACCCAUCACAGUGUAUGUUUUGAUUGUGAAAAGAAAUGUGUUGGGCUUGUAUUCAUUGAUCAUUAUUUGGUUUGCCUAGUGAAUGGGGAAGGAAUGAAUAUUUUUCAAAUGUUAUCCCCUGCGAUGAUUAAUUUUGUAUAUUAGUAAUUUAGUAUUACUCAGUGAAAUCAUCCCUUGCAAUGAUUCAUUUGGUUUAAUAUUAUUGCUCGAGUCUUUGAAUAUGAUCAUCCACUUCUGGCCACCGAUAGGUUUUUGAGUCUAUUGAUAACUACUGUGUUAUGAUUUCAGAUAACUAAAUUGAGGAAUUUAAAGGACACAUAGCAUAUGAUCCAAAAAUGAAGGAAAUAAGGAGAAAAUGCUAACAGAAAUAUUCCUCAGUAUGCUAUAAGAGGCAAUGCAAAUGAUUGGCAAAGGGGUGAAGAAAAUUGAUAGAAGUCUCUCCUCUCUCUUUGGUACUCUCUAGUCUCUAGUAGAGUAAUGGCUUAAGUCUUGGACUUAGUCUUCUUUUAUCUUUCUCUUUUAUGUACUAAGAACAUCAACUCAAUUUUACCUUUGAAUGAAUAAUCAAUUUGCAAUUAUGCAUAUUUCAUAUUACCAAUUUUGAGAACCCUUACAUACUGCAACCCUUUGAACAUGGCAUAUCUGAACCAGGCUCAGCCAAUCAUGGUUUAUGUUCUGUACACAUGAUACUUUAUUGUGUAUUACUAGUAGUGUAUCAUAAUUUCAUAAAGAAGGUAAAUCUUGUAAGACGUUGCUU
This is an RNA transcript of Trifolium pratense (red clover), 2839 nucleotides long. RefSeq lists it as uncharacterized. The record is from RefSeq and is a predicted model, not a curated record. The transcript is spliced from 9 exons. Lineage: Eukaryota; Viridiplantae; Streptophyta; Magnoliopsida; Fabales; Fabaceae.